AAUCAACGCUGGCGGCGUGCCUCAGACAUGCAAGUCGAACGAUUAAAGCUCUCUUCGGAGAGUGUAUAGAGUGGCGCACGGGUGAGUAACACGUAAGUAAUCUACCUUCGAGUGGGAGUAACGUCCGGAACGGACGCUAAUACGCAUAAUGCAGCGGCAUCGCAAGAUGACAGUUGUUAAAGAAUUUAUUCGCUUGAAGAGGAGCUUGCGGCAGAUUA
This 218-nucleotide ribosomal RNA is filed under the name uncultured bacterium. RNAcentral describes it as "partial 16S ribosomal RNA". It matches the Rfam family "Bacterial small subunit ribosomal RNA", at positions 32 to 243 of the family's 1533-position model. The record is from RNAcentral.